This 484-nucleotide ribosomal RNA is filed under the name uncultured bacterium. RNAcentral's name for it is "partial 16S ribosomal RNA". It matches the Rfam family "Bacterial small subunit ribosomal RNA", at positions 30 to 507 of the family's 1533-position model. The record is from RNAcentral.
AUUGAACGCUGGCGGCAGGCCUAACACAUGCAAGUCGAGCGGAUGAAGGGAGCUUGCUCCUGGAUUCAGCGGCGGACGGGUGAGUAAUGCCUAGGAAUCUGCCUGGUAGUGGGGGAUAACGUCCGGAAACGGGCGCUAAUACCGCGUACGUCCUGAGGGAGAAAGUGGGGGAUCUUCGGACCUCACGCUAUCAGAUGAGCCUAGGUCGGAUUAGCUAGUUGGUGGGGUAAAGGCCUACCAAGGCGACGAUCCGUAACUGGUCUGAGAGGAUGAUCAGUCACACUGGAACUGAGACACGGUCCAGACUCCUACGGGAGGCAGCAGUGGGGAAUAUUGGACAAUGGGCGAAAGCCUGAUCCAGCCAUGCCGCGUGUGUGAAGAAGGUCUUCGGAUUGUAAAGCACUUUAAGUUGGGAGGAGGGGCAGUAAGUUAAUACCUUGCUGUUUUGACGUUACCAACAGAAUAAGCACCGGCUAACUUCGUG